Molecule: long non-coding RNA, 507 nt
Organism: Bradysia coprophila
Lineage: Eukaryota; Metazoa; Arthropoda; Insecta; Diptera; Sciaridae
Source: RefSeq, a predicted model, not a curated record
UUCCAGUUACCUACACCCACCCACUUAUAAAAAGCAGAAUCGAUAGAACUUCUUUGCUGUUCAAUUUGCUGACUCGAAUAUGAAUUACUUAGUGAUAAUUUUGUUGUUGAGUUGUAUUAUAGUCAAAAUAGAGUCAGUUUGCAAAUGGACUCCUUGCGAAGGCUGGUUAAGAAAUGAUCAAGGUAUCUGCGAUCAAUACAAUUACGGUUUAUUCGCUAAAACCACCGAUGGCAGCAGCUGUAAAUUUGACUCGGCAAAGAGAAGAUGUUGUAAAGCAGAACAGAAAAUAUGUAAAUGGACAAGAUGUGUUGGUGAUAUCCAUGGACCCUAUUCAUGCAAGAAUCAAUACGGAAACGAAUGGAGACAAACCACUAAAAAAGAGAGAUGCAGUCGUAUAGCAUUUAAAUAUGAAUGUUGCAAUCAUUAAUUUCUUCAAUCAAUGGUUGCAAGUUGCAAUGCGUAAAUAGUAUUUUUCGUCACAAGUUUCAGGACUAGUCUUAAGCUUGU